RNAcentral lists this transfer RNA (60 nucleotides) under Plecturocebus grovesi (Alta Floresta titi monkey). RNAcentral's name for it is "tRNA-Ser". Lineage: Eukaryota; Metazoa; Chordata; Mammalia; Primates; Pitheciidae. The record is from RNAcentral.
GAGAAAGUAUGCAAGAACUGCUAACUCAUGCCCCCACGCUUAAUUAGCCUGGCUUUCUCA